Molecule: unclassified non-coding RNA, 244 nt
Filed under: uncultured fungus
Lineage: Eukaryota; Fungi
Description: partial contains 18S rRNA, ITS1, 5.8S rRNA, ITS2 and 28S rRNA
Source: RNAcentral
AAGGAUCAUUACUGAACCGUUGACACGAGUUGUUGCUGGUCCCCCAAAAGGGGGCAUGUGCACGCUCUGUUUACACAUCCACUCACACCUGUGCACCCACUGUAGUUCUAUGGCCUUGGGGACUCUGUCUCCUUUGCCGUGGUCCUACUUCUUUACACACACACACCGUAGUAAAGUAUCAUGGAAUGCAUGUAGCGUUUAACGCAAUACAAUACAACUUUCAGCAACGGAUCUCUUGGCUCUC